RNAcentral lists this ribosomal RNA (448 nucleotides) under uncultured Anoxybacillus sp. RNAcentral's name for it is "bacterial SSU rRNA". It matches the Rfam family "Bacterial small subunit ribosomal RNA", at positions 938 to 1382 of the family's 1533-position model. The record is from RNAcentral. Lineage: Bacteria; Bacillati; Bacillota; Bacilli; Caryophanales; Anoxybacillaceae.
CAUGUGGUUUAAUUCGAAGCAACGCGAAGAACCUUACCAGGUCUUGACAUCCCCUGACAACCCGAGAGACUCGGGCGUUCCCCUUCGGGGGACAGGGUGACAGGUGGUGCAUGGUUGUCGUCAGCUCGUGUCGUGAGAUGUUGGGUUAAGUCCCGCAACGAGCGCAACCCUCGACCUUAGUUGCCAGCAUUCAGUUGGGCACUCUAAGGUGACUGCCGGCUAAAAGUCGGAGGAAGGUGGGGAUGACGUCAAAUCAUCAUGCCCCUUAUGACCUGGGCUACACACGUGCUACAAUGGGCGGUACAAAGGGUCGCGAACCCGCGAGGGGGGAGCCAAUCCCAAAAAGCCGCUCUCAGUUCGGAUUGCAGGCUGCAACUCGCCUGCAUGAAGCCGGAAUCGCUAGUAAUCGCGGAUCAGCAUGCCGCGGUCGAAUACGUUCCCGGGCCUU